UACGUAGGGGGCAAGCGUUGUCCGGAAUGACUGGGCGUAAAGGGAGUGUAGGCGGCCUUUUAAGUUAUAUGUGAAAGCCCCCGGCUCGACCGCGGAACUGCAUUUGAAACUGUCAGUCUUGAGUACCGGAGAGGUCAUCGGAAUUCCUUGUGUAGCGGUGAAAUGCGUAGAUAUAAGGAAGAACACCAGUGGCGAAGGCGGAUGACUGGACGGCAACUGACGGUGAGGCGCGAGAGCGUGGGGAGCAAACAGG
This 253-nucleotide ribosomal RNA is filed under the name uncultured Oscillospira sp. Its description in RNAcentral is "partial 16S ribosomal RNA". It matches the Rfam family "Bacterial small subunit ribosomal RNA", at positions 524 to 776 of the family's 1533-position model. The record is from RNAcentral. Lineage: Bacteria; Bacillati; Bacillota; Clostridia; Eubacteriales; Oscillospiraceae.